AUACGGAGGGUGCGAGCGUUGUUCGGAAUUAUUGGGCGUAAAGAGCAUGUAGGCGGUCUGUUAAGUCUGGUGUGAAAGCCCGGGGCUCAACCCCGGAAGUGCAUUGGAUACUGGCAGACUUGAGUAUGGGAGAGGAAAGCGGAAUUCCGAGUGUAGGAGUGAAAUCCGUAGAUAUUCGGAGGAACACCAGUGGCGAAGGCGGCUUUCUGGACCAAUACUGACGCUCAGAUGCGAAAGCGUGGGGAGCAAACAGGAUUAGAAACCCCAGUAGUCC
This 274-nucleotide ribosomal RNA is filed under the name uncultured bacterium. Its description in RNAcentral is "partial 16S ribosomal RNA". It matches the Rfam family "Bacterial small subunit ribosomal RNA", at positions 523 to 796 of the family's 1533-position model. The record is from RNAcentral.